Molecule: ribosomal RNA, 500 nt
Filed under: uncultured bacterium
Lineage: Bacteria
Description: partial 16S ribosomal RNA
Rfam family: Bacterial small subunit ribosomal RNA
Source: RNAcentral
AUUGAACGCUGGCGGAAUGCUUUACACAUGCAAGUCGAACGGCAGCACGGACUUCGGUCUGGUGGCGAGUGGCGAACGGGUGAGUAAUGUAUCGGAACGUGCCCAGUCGUGGGGGAUAACGUAGUGAAAAUUACGCUAAUACCGCAUACGACCUAUGGAUGAAAGCGGGGGAUCGCAAGACCUCGCGCGAUUGGAGCGGCCGAUAUCAGAUUAGGUAGUUGGUGGGGGAAAGGCCCACCAAGCCAACGAUCUGUAGCUGGUCUGAGGGGACGACCAGCCACACUGGAACUGAGACACGGUCCAGACUCCUACGGGAGGCAGCAGUGGGGAAUUUUGGACAAUGGGCGAAAGCCUGAUCCAGCCAUUCCGCGUGCAGGAUGAAGGCCCUCGGGUUGUAAACUGCUUUUGUACAGAACGAAAAGGUUUCUACUAAUACUAGGAGCUCAUGACGGUACUGUAAGAAUAAGCACCGGCUAACUACGUGCCAGCCGCCGCCGUAA